AUUGAACGCUGGCGGAAUGCUUUACACAUGCAAGUCGAGCGGCAGCGCGGGGGCAACCCUGGCGGCGAGCGGCGAACGGGUGAGUAAUGCAUCGGAACGUGCCAUUGAGUGGGGGAUAACGUAGCGAAAGUUGCGCUAAUACCGCAUAUUCUGUGAGCAGGAAAGCAGGGGACCGCAAGGCCUUGCGCUCUUUGAGCGGCCGAUGUCAGAUUAGCUAGUUGGUGAGGUAACGGCUUACCAAGGCGACGAUCUGUAGCGGGUCUGAGAGGAUGAUCCGCCACACUGGAACUGAGACACGGUCCAGACUCCUACGGGAGGCAGCAGUGGGGAAUUUGGACAAUGGGCGCGAAGCCUGAUCCAGCCAUGCCGCGUGAGUGAAGAAGGCCUC
Molecule: ribosomal RNA, 388 nt
Filed under: uncultured bacterium
Lineage: Bacteria
Description: bacterial SSU rRNA
Rfam family: Bacterial small subunit ribosomal RNA
Source: RNAcentral